AACGCGAAGAACCUUACCUACCCUUGACAUCCAGAGAAUCCCGCAGAGACGUGGGAGUGCCGAAAGGAACUCUGAGACAGGUGCUGCAUGGCUGUCGUCAGCUCGUGUUGUGAGAUGUUGGGUUAAGUCCCGUAACGAGCGCAACCCUUAUCUUUAGUUGCCAACAUGUAAUGGUGGGGACUCUAAAGAGACUGCUGGUGAUGAACCGGAGGAAGGCGGGGACGACGUCAAGUCAUCAUGGCCUUUAUGGGUAGGGCUACACACGUGCUACAAUGGACAGUACAGAGGGUUGCCAACCCGCGAGGGGGAGCCAAUCCCAGAAAGCUGUUCGUAGUCCGGAUCGGAGUCUGCAACUCGACUCCGUGAAGUCGGAAUCGCUAGUAAUCGCGAAUCAGAACGUCGCGGUGAAUACGUUCCCGGGCCUUGUACACACCGCUCGCGA
RNAcentral lists this ribosomal RNA (442 nucleotides) under uncultured bacterium. RNAcentral's name for it is "bacterial SSU rRNA". It matches the Rfam family "Bacterial small subunit ribosomal RNA", at positions 958 to 1399 of the family's 1533-position model. The record is from RNAcentral.